GAUGAACGCUGGCGGCGUGCCUAAUACAUGCAAGUCGAGCGAACAGACGAGGAGCUUGCUCCUCUGACGUUAGCGGCGGACGGGUGAGUAACACGUGGAUAACCUACCUAUAAGACUGGGAUAACUUAGGGAAACCGGAGCUAAUACCGGAUAAUAUAUUGAACCGCAUGGUUCAAUAGUGAAAGACGGUUUUGCUGUCACCUAUAGAUGGAUCCGCGCCGCAUUAGCUAGUUGGUAAGGUAACGGCUUACCAAGGCAACGAUGCGUAGCCGACCUGAGAUGGUGAUCGGCCACACUGGAACUGAGACACGGUCCAGACUCCUACGGGAGGCAGCAGUAGGGAAUCUUCCGCAAUGGGCGAAAGCCUGACGGAGCAACGCCGCGUGAGUGAUGAAGGUCUUCGGAUCGUAAAACUCUGUUAUUAGGGAAAAACAAAUGUGUAAGUAACUAUGCACGUCUUGACGGUACCUAAUCAGAAAGCCACGGCUAACUACGUG
RNAcentral lists this ribosomal RNA (497 nucleotides) under uncultured bacterium. RNAcentral's name for it is "partial 16S ribosomal RNA". It matches the Rfam family "Bacterial small subunit ribosomal RNA", at positions 28 to 507 of the family's 1533-position model. The record is from RNAcentral.